This 290-nucleotide ribosomal RNA is filed under the name Escherichia coli. RNAcentral's name for it is "partial 23S ribosomal RNA". It matches the Rfam family "Bacterial large subunit ribosomal RNA", at positions 112 to 442 of the family's 2925-position model. The record is from RNAcentral. Lineage: Bacteria; Pseudomonadati; Pseudomonadota; Gammaproteobacteria; Enterobacterales; Enterobacteriaceae.
UUCCGAAUGGGGAAACCCAGUGUGUUUCGACACACUAUCAUUAACUGAAUCCAUAGGUUAAUGAGGCGAACCGGGGGAACUGAAACAUCUAAGUACCCCGAGGAAAAGAAAUCAACCGAGAUUCCCCCAGUAGCGGCGAGCGAACGGGGAGCAGCCCAGAGCCUGAAUCAGUGUGUGUGUUAGUGGAAGCGUCUGGAAAGGCGCGCGAUACAGGGUGACAGCCCCGUACACAAAAAUGCACAUAUUGUGAGCUCGAUGAGUAGGGCGGGACACGUGGUAUCCUGUCUGAA